RNAcentral lists this ribosomal RNA (408 nucleotides) under uncultured bacterium. Its description in RNAcentral is "partial 16S ribosomal RNA". It matches the Rfam family "Bacterial small subunit ribosomal RNA", at positions 28 to 526 of the family's 1533-position model. The record is from RNAcentral.
GACGAACGCUGGCGGCGUGCUUAACACAUGCAAGUCGAACGAAGUGGCGAACGGGUGAGUAACGCGUAAUCAACCCGCCCUUCAGAGGGGGACAACAGUUGGCAACGACUGCUAAUACCGCAUACUGAAGGUGGGGAUUGCGUGUGAUUAGCUAGUUGGAGGGGUAACGGCCCACCAAGGCGAUGAUCAGUAGCCGGUCUGAGAGGAUGAACGGCCACAAUGGGACUGGGACACGGCCCAGACUCCUGCGGGAGGCAACAGUGGGGAAUCUUCCGCAAUGGAGGAAAGUCUGACGGAGCAACGCCGCGGGGGGGGUGACGGCCUUCGGGUUGUAAAGCUCUGUUAAGCGGGACGCGGUACCGGAAGAGAAAGCCACGGCUAACUACGUGCCAGCAGCCGCGGUAAUAC